CUUGACCUCUUCUUAUUAGCAAAGCUCAUAUCUACUUAUCGAAGUCUUCUAAACCCCUCAUAGCUUUACUUCAAAAGUCUAUACUUUCUUGUUGUUGAAGGUCUAGAAGGAGGAUUGGUGUGAGAAUUCUUAAAGGAAGAUUAGAGAAGAGAUAGAGGCUAAUAAAGAAGAACUAAAGCCAAGAGAAUAUGGUCUAAAAGCAAAUGGUGAUCAUC
Molecule: long non-coding RNA, 215 nt
Filed under: Arabidopsis lyrata
Lineage: Eukaryota; Viridiplantae; Streptophyta; Magnoliopsida; Brassicales; Brassicaceae
Description: long non-coding RNA (ALYR_LNC000315)
Source: RNAcentral